CUACGGGUUGCUGCAGUGGGGAAUAUUGCACAAUGGACGAAAGUCUGAUGCAGCAACGCCGCGUGGAGGAUGACACAUUUCGGUGCGUAAACUCCUUUUAUAUAAGAAGAUAAUGACGGUAUUAUAUGAAUAAGCACCGGCUAACUCCGUGCCAGCAGCCGCGGUAAUACGGGGGGUGCAAGCGUUACUCGGAAUCACUGGGCGUAAAGCGCAUGUAGGCGGACUUGUAAGUUGGAAGUGAAAUCCUAUGGCUCAACCAUAGAACUGCUUCCAAAACUGCUUGUCUAGAAUAUGGGAGAGGUAGAUGGAAUUUCUGGUGUAGGGGUAAAAUCCGUAGAGAUCAGAAGGAAUACCGAUUGCGAAGGCGAUCUACUGGAACAUUAUUGACGCUCAGAUGCGAAAGCGUGGGGAGCAAACAGGAUUAGAUACCCGUGUAGUC
Molecule: ribosomal RNA, 439 nt
Filed under: uncultured bacterium
Lineage: Bacteria
Description: partial 16S ribosomal RNA
Rfam family: Bacterial small subunit ribosomal RNA
Source: RNAcentral